RNAcentral lists this transfer RNA (73 nucleotides) under Loxodonta africana (African savanna elephant). It matches the Rfam family "tRNA". From Rfam's summary of the family: Transfer RNA (tRNA) molecules are approximately 80 nucleotides in length. Their secondary structure includes four short double-helical elements and three loops (D, anti-codon, and T loops). Lineage: Eukaryota; Metazoa; Chordata; Mammalia; Proboscidea; Elephantidae. The record is from Rfam by way of RNAcentral.
CACUGAGCGGUAUAAUGGUUAACAUGUUUGGCUGCUAACCAAAAGGUUGGAGGUUUGAGUCCACCCACAGUUG